This 384-nucleotide ribosomal RNA is filed under the name uncultured bacterium. RNAcentral's name for it is "bacterial SSU rRNA". It matches the Rfam family "Bacterial small subunit ribosomal RNA", at positions 28 to 409 of the family's 1533-position model. The record is from RNAcentral.
GAUGAACGCUAGCGGCAGGCCUAAUACAUGCAAGCCGAACGGCAAGUCUUUUAGCAAUAGAAGACCUAGAGUGGCGUAAGGGUGCGUAACACGUAUGCAAUCUGCCCUCAACAGGAGGAUAGCUCCCCGAAAGGGGAAUUAAGCCUCCAUAGGAUCGUAAUGUGGCAUCACAUAGCGAUUAAACUACCAGGGGUUGAGGAUGAGCAUGCGCAUGAUUAGUUAGUUGGCGGGGUAACGGCCCACCAAGACGAUGAUCAUUAGGGGAACUGAGAGGUUGAUCCCCCACACUGGCACUGAGAUACGGGCCAGACUCCUACGGGAGGCAGCAGUAGGGAAUAUUGGACAAUGGGUGCAAGCCUGAUCCAGCCAUGCCGCGUGCAGGAA